GGCCUUCGGGUUGUAAACUCCUUUCGGGGGGGAGGAUACGGACAGUACCCCCAAAAGCNGCCCCGGCUAACUCUGUGCCAGCAGCCGCGGUAAUACAGAGGGGGCAAGCGUUGUCCGGAAUUACUGGGCGUAAAGCGCGCGCAGGCGGUGACUGAUGUGCCGUGUGACAGGCGGGGGCUCAACCCCCGUGCUGCAGGGUAGACAGGGUCACUGGAGGCAGGGAGAGGGAUGUGGAAUGCCCGGUGGAGCGGUGAAAUGCGUAGAGAUCGGGCGGAACACCAGCGGCGAAGGCGGCAUCCUGGCCCUGACCUGACGCUGAGGCGCGAGAGCGUGGGGAGCGAACUGGAUUAGAUACCCAGGUAGUCCACGCCGUAAACGAUGUGCACCCGGCGCUGGGACGUGAUUGCGCGUCUCGGUGCCACAGCUUACGCGAUGAGUGCACCGCCUGGGGAGUACGGCCGCAAGGCUAAAACUCAAA
Molecule: ribosomal RNA, 478 nt
Filed under: uncultured bacterium
Lineage: Bacteria
Description: bacterial SSU rRNA
Rfam family: Bacterial small subunit ribosomal RNA
Source: RNAcentral